Long non-coding RNA from Prionailurus viverrinus (fishing cat), 880 nucleotides. RefSeq lists it as uncharacterized. The record is from RefSeq and is a predicted model, not a curated record. The transcript has 6 exons. Lineage: Eukaryota; Metazoa; Chordata; Mammalia; Carnivora; Felidae.
CGGACUUUUGGCUGAGAUCCGUGUCAGACUCCUCCGAAUAGUCGUCUGUUGGCAUCGAGGGCUGAACCCCUGAGGUGCUGCAUGAACUUGAGAGCGCGCUCUCGCACGCCAGGCAGUGGUACGAGCCGCCGCCGCCACCGCCGCCACCGCUGCCGCCGCCACUGCCGCCGCCGCCCGUGGGGACGUGAAGCACCAUCUCUUGCAGGUUCACCACAGACUGGCCGAAGAAGCAGAGGGACUUCAGGGUGAUGGAAGACAACACUGCUACUGGUACAUCAAGGUGGUGGUAGAAGAGGACAGCAUUGUGAGGAAGGGAGACCAGGUGUGCUGAAUGAGGAGAUGCUGAGAAGAAUUCACAGGCAGUGGACCUCAGAUCAUUACAUUCAGCACACUUCAGAAACUAGAUGGUAUUCAUCCCUUUGCUUCAGAGCGUACCACAGAUUCAGAACCAUAUUGCCCAAUACAGGAUUCCUGGCCAGUGCAUUCGAGUACAAAGGGAGUCUCAUUAGGAACUGAUAGAGCCACUGUCGUUCUGGCUAGAUAAGAAGACCAGGAGUAAGGAUCCAUAUAUAAGAGCUUCUUCCUGAUAGCAGUUCUGCCAGAACAGCUCUCUAAAAAUGGGCAGGAACCACAGAGGAACAGUCGUCAUUGUCCAGCUUGGUUUGGUCAAAGUUUAGAUUAACUGAGGACAUGGAGGGGCUUUCAAAGUCUUCAAUCCCUUCCACCUUGAUGGAAGAAGGGCUAAGAAGAGUUCUGGGAGACAACUCCAUGGUUUUACUCACAGGGCUUGCACUGGCCUUUUCCUCCAGCUUCCUCUUCAGAGUGUUCAUUGUGGAGGUCGGAGUUGAAGGAGAAGUGGCCGAGCUGGCUGGAAUCUGAG